AGAACAAGAAGAAGAAGAAGAGGAGUCAAAUUAGAGAACUAGAAAAAGAGGAGUAUAACUUCCUGUAAGUCUAUAUGUUUAGGUGGGGUUAGGCAAGAGAUUUAAAUGAUUAUUUAAUAUCUAUCAUGGGAAGUGGAAAGGUUCAGCUGUUUUUAAAUCCUUAGAAAAUACAAUCACUCUAGUAUUUGAUAAAGGUGCAGUAAUUAUAUAUUCUAAAAUGUCUAAAAAUUAUAUGAUUUUAAUAAUUUAUGAAUAAUAAUAAUAAAAAUACUAAUAUACUAUUUUAACAAAUAAAAAUAAUAAUAGAAAAAGCCCAGUGAAUGUAUAGCAAACUGAAUUGGCGUACCAAUUAAACUACCCCUCAAUAACCUAUAUUAAGUAGCGUGCCCCGUUACCA
RNAcentral lists this unclassified non-coding RNA (397 nucleotides) under Hevea brasiliensis (rubber tree). The record is from RNAcentral. Lineage: Eukaryota; Viridiplantae; Streptophyta; Magnoliopsida; Malpighiales; Euphorbiaceae.